RNAcentral lists this ribosomal RNA (322 nucleotides) under uncultured eukaryote. RNAcentral's name for it is "partial 18S ribosomal RNA". It matches the Rfam family "Eukaryotic small subunit ribosomal RNA", at positions 1470 to 1796 of the family's 1831-position model. The record is from RNAcentral.
CCCUUAGAUGUUCUGGGCCGCACGCGUGCUACACUGAGUGGAUCAGCGGGUCAGGUUGCGCGAAAGCGUUUCCUAAUCUUUAAAUCCACUCGUGAUGGGGAUUGACGGUUGCAAUUUUCUGUCAUGAACGAGGAAUACCUUGUAAGCGCGGGUCAUCAUCCCGCGCUGAAUACGUCCCUGCCCUUUGUACACACCGCCCGUCGCUCCUACCGAUUGAGUGGUCCGGUGAGGCUUUGGGAUCUGAGCGGAAAGAGCGUUUCGCUGUUUCUGCUCGGAAAACUCAGUCGAACCUUAUCAUUUAGAGGAAGGAGAAGUCGUAACA